Neofelis nebulosa (Clouded leopard) is the source of this 855-nucleotide long non-coding RNA. RefSeq lists it as uncharacterized. NCBI's taxonomy places the organism in Eukaryota, Metazoa, Chordata, Mammalia, Carnivora, Felidae. The transcript is spliced from 4 exons. The record is from RefSeq and is a predicted model, not a curated record.
GAUGCUCUGGGGGGUGGGGGUGGGGUGCCUGAGAAUAUGCACUGCUGUUGGUCCCACUGGUCCGAGGCCCACGCUUUGAGUAGCAAGACACUGAAUGAUAGAAAUGGAACCAGUUGGCCAAUGAGGAGCAGUGAUGUGAUGGCCAAAUGGUCCCUAUGCUUAGAUAUCUGAGCAGAGUGCCAAGGGAAGGCAGAGUUGCAGCAAAAAUCGGGAGGAAGCAUCAACUUGCUUAGCAUACAAGAUACAUUUGAAGGUUGAGGAGACAUGACAGCAUUCUCAUGGAGGGGCCACACGGCCGAGCAGGAUCCUGGGGGCACCUGUCACACAGCAGAGAAGGUCUGCAGAAACCAAGAGAUACCCAGUGCAGCUGAAGCAAGGCACCGCUUGUUGCCACAGCUCUGGACAGGACAAAGAGGUCUGUUUCUUCUGAACCUAAUUCCUGAGCGUCACCUGAAACAGCAUUUGCCACAACUGUAUUCCAUGAAUCCUAGCCCCAGCCCCAACUCACCUUCAACCAAAGCCCUUCCAUGUUACUUCUUUGAUAUACUGAGAUUGUCUCUGUAUCAGCUGGGACUUGGAGGCAAUCAAAUGAAACCAACUGCUUUAAGUAAAGAGAAAAGGAAUCUAUUGGAAGUGGAUACAAAUCAGAGAUCUGUGUGCAAAGAAGUUUGGACACCUGGGAGUUGAACCAAGUGAAGUAGGCAUGUCUGUUGCAGGACUUAUCAGAAUCUUUAGUACACCAGUGCACAUCUCCAGUAUAUAAUUUUUUAUAUACAUUUUCCAAAUGUAUUUCUUCAAUGCCAUGAUGCACUGAUUGUAAGGUGUAUCAGCAUUUUAAUAACAGCAUUUUCAGGA